AUCGGGAUAACACCUGGAAACAGAUGCUAAUACCGGAUNAAACAACAGAUGAUGCCUAUCAACUAGUUUAAAAGAUGGUUCUGCUAUCACUUCUUGGAUGGACCUGCGGUGCAUUAGCUAGUUGGUAGGGUAACGGCCUACCAAGGCGAUGAUGCAUAGCCGAGUUGAGAGACUGAUCGGCCACAUUGGGACUGAGACACGGCCCCAGACUCCUACGGGAGGCAGCAGGC
This 230-nucleotide ribosomal RNA is filed under the name uncultured Lactobacillus sp. RNAcentral's name for it is "partial 16S ribosomal RNA". It matches the Rfam family "Bacterial small subunit ribosomal RNA", at positions 137 to 354 of the family's 1533-position model. The record is from RNAcentral. Lineage: Bacteria; Bacillati; Bacillota; Bacilli; Lactobacillales; Lactobacillaceae.